UACGUAGGUCCCGAGCGUUGUCCGGAUUUAUUGGGCGUAAAGCGAGCGCAGGUGGUUUAUUAAGUCUGGUGUAAAAGGCAGUGGCUCAACCAUUGUAUGCAUUGGAAACUGGUAGACUUGAGUGCAGGAGAGGAGAGUGGAAUUCCAUGUGUAGCGGUGAAAUGCGUAGAUAUAUGGAGGAACACCGGUGGCGAAAGCGGCUCUCUGGACUGUAACUGACGCUGAUGCUCGAAAGUGUGGGUAUCAAACAGG
RNAcentral lists this ribosomal RNA (252 nucleotides) under uncultured bacterium. RNAcentral describes it as "partial 16S ribosomal RNA". It matches the Rfam family "Bacterial small subunit ribosomal RNA", at positions 524 to 776 of the family's 1533-position model. The record is from RNAcentral.